Molecule: transfer RNA, 60 nt
Filed under: chicken gut metagenome
Rfam family: tRNA
About the family: Transfer RNA (tRNA) molecules are approximately 80 nucleotides in length. Their secondary structure includes four short double-helical elements and three loops (D, anti-codon, and T loops).
Source: RNAcentral
UGGUGUAGCUCAGUCGGUAGAGCAGCUGAUUUGUAAUCAGCAGGUCGGGGGUUCGAGUCC